Molecule: transfer RNA, 72 nt
Filed under: Acidimicrobiales bacterium
Lineage: Bacteria; Bacillati; Actinomycetota; Acidimicrobiia; Acidimicrobiales
Description: tRNA-Pro
Rfam family: tRNA
About the family: Transfer RNA (tRNA) molecules are approximately 80 nucleotides in length. Their secondary structure includes four short double-helical elements and three loops (D, anti-codon, and T loops).
Source: RNAcentral
CGGGGAGUAGCGCAGCGGUAGCGCACCUGCUUUGGGAGCAGGAGGUCGGGAGUUCGAAUCUCCUCUCCCCGA